Molecule: unclassified non-coding RNA, 389 nt
Filed under: uncultured fungus
Lineage: Eukaryota; Fungi
Description: sequence contains ITS1
Rfam family: 5.8S ribosomal RNA (bases 1-105)
Source: RNAcentral
AAACUGCGAUACGUAGUGUGAAUUGCAGAAUUCAGUGAAUCAUCGAAUCUUUGAACGCAAAUUGCGCUACUGGGUAUUCCUGGUAGCAUACUUGGCUGAGUAUCAUCUGGAUAAAUCACAAAACUUUUUUUUUGUGGAUAUGAGGUUUGUCACAUUAAGAAAAAUUUAUUUUUCUGAUGGGUCCCUUUAAAUUCAGUACGGUGGGAAAGGGUAUUUAACUGUCCUUUUGUACCAACUAGUGUGUUAAUUGUCCCAUUUCGGACAUUUUUUAUAUGCUAUGUUGAGAACAGGGACACUUUAAAGUUAUAUACUAUUCUGGCCAUUCAAUAAAUCAAAAUCUCUUUUGAAAUUUUGAUCUCAGCUCAAGUAAGACUACCCGCUGAAUUUAA